AUGCACAUGUAAAAUCUCCAUUAUACAAUAAACAAAACUUGCAAUUAAUAAAUCUUCUCUACUGGACCUCGUCUUCUAAUUUCCAUAGCAAAAUAAAUGUCAUCAAUAACCAUAAUUUCUUAUAAAGGAAUUACAUAACAAGAAAUACACAAAUACAGACAUCAAAGUAUAUCAUGUUAGAAAUUCUAGCAAAUGACCCCUCACCAUCAUAGUCAUUAGAUGUCAAAGCAGGUAUUAAGAUUUCUUAAAUGUUUUCAGUUCUAUUUUUUCUUAUUGAUUCUAACGAACAACAAUUGACCUUAACCACGAAAGUGGACAUUUUACUCUAUAUCUGAGUGUUUAAUGCAACUAAAUCGAUUUGCAGCAGCUACAUCAGGGUAUCAAAAAACUAUUCAAUGAUUUAUACAAAAGUUUCCUUUCAAGGCAAACACCAAAAUUGAAGUAUGAAGUUCGUUGCAUCUACAACAUAUUCACUAAUCAUAAUUUGAUUUAAUCCUAUAGAUUUGACAUCCACAAAUUAAGUACAAAAGGAUAAACUUUAUAAGCAAUUGAAUAUGUAGCAAGAAGGGUAGCUGCCCAGAAACUUAAAAAAAGAACAAAACAAAAAACAAAAAAAGUAGCAACUAUCAAUUUUCUGUAAAAGAAAAAAAAAUUCCACAAUAAGCUUUCAUCAUACCAAUCAAUAGUUAUUCCAUUACAUACAAUGUCUGCUGACCUGGUCAAGAAUUUCCCCUGAAUCUCAAGCACAAAUCAUCUUUUCAAAAAAUUUUGAACCAUUAAAAGAAAUGCAGCAAAAUGGGGAAUUCUAGGAAAUGGAAGUCAUCAGAGUUUAUGGUCACAGACGGUCUCUUAUUUUCUUCUGUUUCAAAUGAAUCAUUCUGAUGUACUCCUAAAAAUUGUGCCAACAUUCAGACAAGAUUAGAAGAUUUACAAGUAACUCUAGCCUUACAGAAAACUCUACCCUCUACGGUGAUGGCAGUCUUGUUUGCACUAAUUAAAUGGUAAGUUGUAAAUCUAAUCUAGAUUGCUCCCCCCCCCCCAAAAAAAAAAAAAAAAANN
Molecule: long non-coding RNA, 1059 nt
Filed under: Citrus sinensis (sweet orange)
Lineage: Eukaryota; Viridiplantae; Streptophyta; Magnoliopsida; Sapindales; Rutaceae
Description: long non-coding RNA (CSIN_LNC000988)
Source: RNAcentral